AACGAACGCUGGCGGCAGGCUUAACACAUGCAAGUCGAGCGCCCCGCAAGGGGCGCGGCCGUCGGGUGAGUAACGCGUGGGAACGUACCUUUUGGUUCGGAACAACUCCGGGAAACUGGAGCUAAUACCGGAUAAGCCCUAACGGGGAAAGAUUUAUCGCCGAAAAAUCGGCCCGCGUCUGAUUAGCUAGUUGGUGAGGUAACGGCUCACCAAGGCGACGAUCAGUAGCUGGUCUGAGAGGAUGAUCAGCCACACUGGGACUGAGACACGGCCCAGACUCCUACGGAGGGGAGCAGUGGGGAAUAUUAGAGAAUGGGCGCAAGCCUAAUCCAGCCAUGCCGGGUGAGUGAUGAAGGCCUUAGGGUUGUAAAGCUCUUUUGUCCGGGAAGAUAAUGACGGUACCGGAAGAAUAAGCCCCGGCUAACUUCGUG
This 431-nucleotide ribosomal RNA is filed under the name uncultured bacterium. RNAcentral's name for it is "partial 16S ribosomal RNA". It matches the Rfam family "Bacterial small subunit ribosomal RNA", at positions 29 to 507 of the family's 1533-position model. The record is from RNAcentral.